Molecule: ribosomal RNA, 526 nt
Filed under: Rana sauteri (Taiwan groove-toed frog)
Lineage: Eukaryota; Metazoa; Chordata; Amphibia; Anura; Ranidae
Description: partial 16S ribosomal RNA
Rfam family: Bacterial large subunit ribosomal RNA
Source: RNAcentral
UAAGAGGUCCAGCCUGCCCAGUGAUAAUUAAUUCAACGGCCGCGGUACCCUAACCGUGCGAAGGUAGCAUAAUCACUUGUUCUUUAAAUGAGGACUCGUAUCAACGGCACUACGAGGGCUAUACUGUCUCCUUUUUCUAAUCAGUGAAACUGAUCUCCCCGUGAAGAAGCAGGGAUCAAAAUAUAAGACGAGAAGACCCCAUGGAGCUUUAAACUCACUACACACCUCUGUGCUCGUACACCAUCAAACACAAGAGAACUGUGUGUUAGUUUUAGGUUGGGGGGACCACGGAGUAUAACUUAACCUCCACAACAAAUGGGCUAACACCCUAAUCCACGAGACACAACUCUAAGAAUUACUAAAAUAAUGCUUAUGACCCGAUAUUCGAUCAAUGAACCAAGUUACCCUGGGGAUAACAGCGCAAUCUACUUCAAGAGCCCAUAUCGACAAGUAGGUUUACGACCUCGAUGUUGGAUCAGGAUAUCCCGGUGGUGCAGCCGCUACCAAUGGUUCGUUUGUUCAACGA